GACGAACGCUGGCGGCGUGCCUAACACAUGCAAGUCGAACGAAGUGGCGAACGGGUGAGUAACGCGUAAUCAACCUGCCCUUCAGAGGGGGACAACAGUUGGAAACGACUGCUAAUACCGCAUCCUGAAGCAGGGGAUUGCGUGUGUUUAGCUAGUAGGAGGGGUAACGGCCCACCAAGGCGAUGAUCAGUAGCCGGUCUGAGAGGAUGAACGGCCACAUUGGGACUGAGACACGGCCCAGACUCCUACGGGAGGCAGCAGUAGGGAAUCUUCGGCAAUGGGCGAAAGUCUGACCGAGCAACGCCGCGUGAAUGAAGAAGGUUUUCGGAUCGUAAAGCUCUGUUAUUAGAGAAGCGGUAUCUAACCAGAAAGCCACGGCUAACUACGUGCCAGCAGCCGCGGUAAUUC
Molecule: ribosomal RNA, 408 nt
Filed under: uncultured bacterium
Lineage: Bacteria
Description: partial 16S ribosomal RNA
Rfam family: Bacterial small subunit ribosomal RNA
Source: RNAcentral